GGGUGUGGGUAGGUACGUGAAAUCUGUGUGAGAUCAAUAAGUGCGUGUGUGCACGUGAGAUCAGUAUGAGAUCAGCGUGUAUUGUAUUCACAGCGCGGCACGCCUAGGGGGCCAGGCCAGACCUGAAAAACCAGCCGCCUCCUUCUCUCCGAUUCACCACAGUAGAGCGCGCCACACACACCUGUCAGCCAGCCACACAGCCUUACUGGACUAUGCCCUGUUCUGUGGACUGAGGGGUUUGCACUGUGGGGAGACAUUUUUCCACAAGCAGGUGCGAUCGAACAGCACACUGGUGAAGAUGCAAGCCAACACAGCUUCUCCCGUGACCAACCUCACCACGGCCACGACCAAAUCGCGAGAACAAAUCCUCAUGCAGAGUGCAGGCGCCAUGAUCGCAAUUAUUGUUAUCGGCAUCGUCCUCAUCCUCAGCAUACUACUCAUCAUACUGAAGACAUAUAACAAGAAGAUGCACACAAGGAGGAUACUCAAUGGGACUUCCACCAAACCACGUAAAAACACGACCUCAACAACAAUGACGACACUGCAGAUGGAGAACAUGCGAGGCAGUGCCAACAUGCGAGGCAGCGCCAACAUGGGAGGCUUAGUACACUUGCCCAACAUCUCGGAGAACGGGUUCCAUUUACCACGAGCCGAGGUGGCUAACACGGCUGAACGAAUCAGCAUGAACAGUGGCUCCACUGUGGUCACGAUACAUAACACGCCAUCGAUCGAAAAUACGUAAAAAAACAAACAAAAAAAACAACAACCAAUAUGUGACUUCAAUGGGCUCCAUUGUGCUGUGUGAUGAGAAAACACACCCCCACAACGAACAAACUGAUCAGAGGAUGAUGACCAGGACAUGGAAAAACAAAAGACAGACCAAACAUUGAAUUACUGGCAUGUUGAGACAAACAUGAGCACCUCUGAAGGCCGAAUGUAGUCAAUGGACCACUGGGUCAGACUGUGGUCAAAUGGACCACAGGGACUCUCAGAGCUAAGCGUGGGCAAAUGGACCACUGGGGACAUUUAGGGUUCAUUAUAGUACUGAGAAAACCAUUCCACCAGGACCAGUGGCCAUUUCACCUAAUAACCCUACUUUGUGGUCUCUGGAAAAUGAAACUAUCCAGUUUUAUAAUAGGGACCUCACAUGUCAUGACUGAACAAGUAAUACAGUGUGUGGUAUCACAUAUAAACAGUUUCCUGUGAGUCCAAGUGCAAAGACAGUAAUAAAAAGAGUGAAGGUUGUAACGUGUAACUAUUGCACUAACAAUAACUGAUGUUUCCCUUUACUUAAAACUAAGAUCAACAGAAAACCCUUUUAGUCUAAGGGCAGUUGUUAAAUGGUCAGUAGAUGUUUAAUAUGCCACCACAGCAUUGCUGAAUUCUCGAACCAGAAGAAGCUGUAACAAACAAAAGGUGUAUAUUAACACAUCUGUGUACAUCAUUCUAAUAGGUUGUCGUUUCUAUAGCAACAGCUCAUUCACACAUUAAAAAUGUGUUGUUAUUUAAAUGUAGACUCAUUGAUCAUGUGAUGUUUUCUUGAGGAGACAUUUAUUUGAACAUGUUUGGAAGGAGUCUCCAGUGUCAGCACUUUGUAACAGUUUUCUGCCAUGUGAAAGUCUUCAGGAUGGAGGACUUUGCACAUUGAGAUUUCUUGUCUUAUUAACUUGAAGAGAAAUUGGGGGAAUAACUGUUUAGUAUUGUAAUGUAAGUGAUUAGUGCAUAUUAGCUGUGUUCGACUAGAACUCGUACACUGUAAUUCCCAACCUCCAGCCAAGAAAAGCUACUUGAAAACGCUACUGAAAAUAAUACACUCCACACGAAACUUCCCUCUUAUUCAUGUCGGGUCGUAUCGUAUCACACCCAGCUCAUGUUGAUUGUUUUCCUAUAAUAGCAUGGACGGUCAUGUUCUGUUCCUUACAUUUAACACAAUUUCAAAACCACAACACGAUAAAGGUCUUAUUAACAGACAAAAGUGGAAGUCUUAACAAAGCUGCUCUUAUGGAGUUUUGUCCAAAUUUCAAACACUAGAGUGAUACAGUUAAAAAUAUAUAUAUAUAAAUAAAUGAAUGAAAUGUUACUUACAUUUUCCCUGAGGUUUAUUAAUAUCUGUCCACAAUCCUGAGGAAACAGAAGAACUGUUCAUCAAAUUUAUACAUUUGACUGAAGAAUUCAUUAAAGCUCUCUACAUGUUAAAUGCAUACGUUUACUAUCACCCAUCUGACGCCCAACAGCCUCCCUAUGUUUUGUGUUUCACAUAAGAAUCUCUUGCUCUUUUCUCAGUAAAGAGAAACGUCAAAAUUGUCUAUGGUGCACAUUAUGGAUGUAGUAGAUAGGAUGUAGUGAGAGGAGAAAAAAAACAAACUCCGGAGCAUUUUAAGGCAGUAACUUGAUGUACAAGUUGGUGUUUACUUUAGAAUUUUGCACAUUCACAUGAUAUUGAGUAAAUGAAGCUUUUUAUGUUGUUGGGACAUUAAAAACAAAUGAAAUGAUUUGUG
Long non-coding RNA from Ictalurus punctatus (channel catfish), 2498 nucleotides. NCBI's taxonomy places the organism in Eukaryota, Metazoa, Chordata, Actinopteri, Siluriformes, Ictaluridae. The record is from Ensembl.